Long non-coding RNA from Sardina pilchardus (European sardine), 1151 nucleotides. RefSeq lists it as uncharacterized. The transcript has 3 exons. NCBI's taxonomy places the organism in Eukaryota, Metazoa, Chordata, Actinopteri, Clupeiformes, Clupeidae. The record is from RefSeq and is a predicted model, not a curated record.
UUCAGGACUUCUCUCACUCUCAUGAUCUGGAAUGUUCAUGGCUUUCCUGCUAAAGGAUGGGAUGAACCACAAGUUCAGCCUGGUCCUGAAGGAAUGAAUUCUGUAGAUUUCAACACUGGUGCAGACAUGGCAGGUUGGUAUUGGGCGCAACAUGAUCCCGUUGGUUGGUCUUGGAUGGAAUCUCCCAUCUCCACCGAUCAGCAGCCGCAGCCAGGUCCACCUCCACCUCAGGCCCCUGAGCAGCAUGUGCAAGGUCCUUCCUCUAAAGGUCGUUUGCAUUCCUCUGUUCUCAUUGAAAUUUCCCCUCCAGCAGCCCCUGGUGCUGCUGUUGCUGAGCCCGAUCCAGCAAUGUCGUGGUGGGUGUCUGAUCCUGAACCUGAACCUGAACCUGUGCCCAAUCCCGAUCCAGCAAUGUCGUGGUGGGUGUCUGAUCCUGAACCUGAACCUGUGCCCAAUCCUGACACGGUCUUAGUUCUACAAGGUCCACCGGGUCCAAUAGCACCACCACCACCUGAGCCAAUCUACAAACCCGGGAAAGUCAUCCGUCUGUUUUCUAUCUAUGAACAUGGCAAUGAGGAGUCCGAGCUCCAUGAUUCUGGAGACCUGAUUCCCCAUCCCCCUCCCCCUCCCCCAGAGCUCUCUGAAAACAGUGGCCGUCAUGAUGACAAGUUCUUUCAAAUGGUCCUCGCUGGUGAACUUCCACCUGGUAUCAUAACCCAUAUCAGUUCCACCUAUGAGCAUGGCCACAAUGCCUGGACUGACAUUGGCUUUGAGAGGGUUCCGUCUCCCCCCAAAAAAGAGCUCCCUUCCGAAGAACAGAAUGACUCUAAAAUGAACACCAAGGUUCCUUCUGUAGAAUACUCCCAUUAGUGCUGUUAAAGUUGUGGACACCCCAGUUAAGACACCUCAACGCGUCUCCUCAGGGAUGUAAGAACCAAUGCCCUCAUGUAGAUUUACAUGUGGAAUGACUGGUGUGGACACUGGUAUUGUUCCCCUGUCAAUGUGUUCUGGCUUAAUUACUUCCUAGAUGCUUUCAAUGCUUCCUAGCUGGUGAAGGGCUCAUAUUUGGAGAUUCUGUAAUUCUGUGUUCUCUCGAUCCUAAAUAAAUGUGGUGAACUUCAGCCCUCAAGUUUCACUAAACUAAAAAUCUA